RNAcentral lists this ribosomal RNA (448 nucleotides) under uncultured organism. RNAcentral's name for it is "partial 16S ribosomal RNA". It matches the Rfam family "Bacterial small subunit ribosomal RNA", at positions 331 to 796 of the family's 1533-position model. The record is from RNAcentral.
GUACACUCCUACGGGAGGCAGCAGUGGGGAAUAUUGAACAAUGGGCGCAAGCCUGAUCCAGCCAUGCCGCGUGAGUGAUGAAGGCCCUAGGGUUGUAAAGCUCUUUCACCGGUGAAGAUAAUGACGGUAACCGGAGAAGAAGCCCCGGCUAACUUCGUGCCAGCAGCCGCGGUAAUACGAAGGGGGCUAGCGUUGUUCGGAUUUACUGGGCGUAAAGCGCACGUAGGCGGACUAUUAAGUCAGGGGUGAAAUCCCGGGGCUCAACCCCGGAACUGCCUUUGAUACUGGUAGUCUUGAGUUCGAGGGAGGUGAGUGGAAUUCCGAGUGUAGAGGUGAAAUUCGUAGAUAUUCGGAGGAACACCAGUGGCGAAGGCGGCUCACUGGCUCGAUACUGACGCUGAGGUGCGAAAGCGUGGGGAGCAAACAGGAUUAGAAACCCCAGUAGUCC